Dioscorea cayenensis subsp. rotundata (Guinea yam) is the source of this 107-nucleotide small nucleolar RNA. The record is from RefSeq and is a predicted model, not a curated record. Lineage: Eukaryota; Viridiplantae; Streptophyta; Magnoliopsida; Dioscoreales; Dioscoreaceae.
AAUCCAUGAUGAGGACACUUGUGUAACAGAUCCUUGAACAGUUCAUGUGCCUCAAAGAGUGUUUCAGAGUCCUCUUACCUGAAAGAUGAAAUCUCAUGUCUCAGUCU